UACGUAGGCAGCAAGCGUUGUUCGGAGUUACUGGGCGUAAAGGGUGUGUAGGCGGUUGGAUAAGUGUGGUGUGAAAUCUCCCGGCUCAACUGGGAGGGUGCGCUACAAACUGUCUGACUAGAGUGUGGGAUGGGUAAGUGGAAUUCCAGGUGUAGCGGUGAAAUGCGUAGAUAUCUGGAGGAACACCGGUGGCGAAGGCGGCGUUCUGGACUGCAACUGACACUGAGGAACGAAAGCCAGGGGAGCAAACGGG
This 253-nucleotide ribosomal RNA is filed under the name uncultured bacterium. Its description in RNAcentral is "partial 16S ribosomal RNA". It matches the Rfam family "Bacterial small subunit ribosomal RNA", at positions 524 to 776 of the family's 1533-position model. The record is from RNAcentral.